CCUACGGGCGGCUGCAGUCGAGAAUCAUUCACAAUGGGGGAAACCCUGAUGGUGCGACGCCGCGUGGGGGAAUGAAGGUCUUCGGAUUGUAAACCCCUGUCAUGUGGGAGCAAAUUAAAAAGAUAGUACCACAAGAGAAAGAGACGGCUAACUCUGUGCCAGCAGCCGCGGUAAUACAGAGGUCUCAAGCGUUGUUCGGAAUCACUGGGCGUAAAGCGUGCGUAGGCUGUUUCGUAAGUCGUGUGUGAAAGGUGCGGGCUCAACCCGCGGACGGCACAUGAUACUGCGCGACUAGAGUAAUGGAGGGGGGAACCGGAAUUCUCGGUGUAGCAGUGAAAUGCGUAGAUAUCGAGAGGAACACUCGUGGCGAAGGCAGGUUCCUGGACAUUAACUGACGCUGAGGCACGAAGGCCAGGGGAGCGAAAGGGAUUAGAUACCCUUGUAGUC
This 447-nucleotide ribosomal RNA is filed under the name uncultured bacterium. Its description in RNAcentral is "partial 16S ribosomal RNA". It matches the Rfam family "Bacterial small subunit ribosomal RNA", at positions 338 to 795 of the family's 1533-position model. The record is from RNAcentral.